RNAcentral lists this long non-coding RNA (1014 nucleotides) under Corvus moneduloides (New Caledonian crow). Its description in RNAcentral is "lncRNA (ENSCMUG00000017038.1)". The record is from RNAcentral. Lineage: Eukaryota; Metazoa; Chordata; Aves; Passeriformes; Corvidae.
AUGGGCUGCCUGGACAGGCAGGGGGUGCUUGGGUGUUCCAUCCCUGGAAACAUCAGCGCCAGGCUGGACGGGGCUCUGAGCAACCUGGUUUGGUACAGGUAUCCCUGCUCACUGCGGGGGCUGGGCCAGGGGACCUUUAAAGGUCCCUUCCCACCCAAACCAUCCUGCGAGCCUGGCCAGGCUGCUGUCAGCGCCUUCAUCCCACUGUAUACCAGGAACGGGCAGCUCCCAUCGGGCGCCUGCCUGUGCGUGUGCGUGUACACGCGAGUGUGUGUGUGCACAUGUGCGCAGGCUGUGCUGCCUGGGCUGUUCCUCGGGGUGGGGGUGCCCCCGAGUGCUGGCCCGAUGGACCCGGGUGACACCGCUGCUGGCAGUGCCGGGCUACGGCAGGUAGGGGUGCUGUUCCAGCAGCUCUGCAGUGAUGGGAAGGGAUGGCGCCGCAGUCCCGCAAGAGCUGUGUCCUUGGGCUGGGGCCAGCCCCACUUCCAGGGAGAUCCCAGGAGAGGUGUUGCCUCCCGACCCAGCCGUCCUGGGGGGGGGGGGGGUCUGUUUUCGUGGUUAUCGGGGUGCUGCUGGCCAGAGCAUGUGGCUCUGUGGGAGUUGGGGGUGACCAGGGCACAGGGCUGCAGACUCAGCUCUGCAGCACAGGCAGUACCCAGCUCUGGGACACACCUGGCUGGCACAGGUGCUGUGGGACGUGCCCUGGUGCGGGCAGACAUCGUGUGCUUGCACGGGGCUCCUGGGCACCGGCAGGCAUCGUCCCUCCUUAGGGCUGUUGGGCGACAGGGGUUGUGGGACAUGGGGCAGUGCUGGGGGUUGCCCCUCAGCACCAGGGGACACAGGACAUUUCCACAGGGACACCCCAUGGGCUGGGGCUGGCUUGGGGUCCCUGAAGGGUCCCCAUCGUUAUGUGGCAUGCAUAGGGCCACCCUUGCUGGGCAAGGUCUGGGGGCCAGCCUGGCCCCAGUGGGGUGUUGGAGGGUCCACAGUAGGGUGUUGCCACAGCAACGUUGA